This 356-nucleotide ribosomal RNA is filed under the name Tetracha pilosipennis. Its description in RNAcentral is "partial 16S ribosomal RNA". The record is from RNAcentral. Lineage: Eukaryota; Metazoa; Arthropoda; Insecta; Coleoptera; Carabidae.
AAAGGUAGCGUAAUCAUUAGUUUUUUAAUUGAAAGCUUGUAUGAAUGGUUGGACGAGGUAAAUACUGUCUUUAUUUAAUUUAAUUUAGAAUUUAACUUUUGAGUGAAAAGGCUUAAAUUUUAUUAAUAGACGAGAAGACCCUAUAGAUCUUUAUAAGUUAGUAAUUAAUUGUCUUAGGAUUAUUUAUUGAUUAAUUAUAAACCUUAUUUUAUUGGGGUAAUAUGAAGAUUCAAUGAAUUCUUUGAUUUACGAACAGGGAUAACUGGUUAAUUGAUCCAUUAUUAUUGAUUGUAAGAUUAAGUUACCUUAGGGAUAACAGCGUAAUUUUUUUGGAGAGUUCAUAUCGAUAAAAAAGU